This 334-nucleotide ribosomal RNA is filed under the name uncultured eukaryote. Its description in RNAcentral is "partial 18S ribosomal RNA". It matches the Rfam family "Eukaryotic small subunit ribosomal RNA", at positions 1470 to 1796 of the family's 1831-position model. The record is from RNAcentral.
CCCUUAGAUGUUCUGGGCCGCACGCGCGCUACACUGAAGGAAUCAGCGUGGCUUUCUCCCUGACCCGAAAGGGUUGGGAAACCCGUUGAAUCUCCUUCGUGAUAGGGAUUGGGGCUUGAAAUUGUUCCCCAUGAACGAGGAAUUCCCAGUAAGCGCGAGUCAUAAGCUCGCGUUGAUUACGUCCCUGCCCUUUGUACACACCGUCCGUCGCUACUACCGAUUGAACGGUUUAGUGAGGGCCUCGGAUUGGUCUCGGCCCGCUCUUUACCGGGCGGCGCCGUUGGUCGAGAAGACGCUCGAACUUGAUCGUUUAGAGGAAGUAAAAGUCGUAACA